RNAcentral lists this ribosomal RNA (253 nucleotides) under uncultured bacterium. Its description in RNAcentral is "partial 16S ribosomal RNA". It matches the Rfam family "Bacterial small subunit ribosomal RNA", at positions 524 to 776 of the family's 1533-position model. The record is from RNAcentral.
UACGUAGGGUGCGAGCGUUAACCGGAAUUACUGGGCGUAAAGCGCGCGCAGGCGGUUUGGCAAGUCAGAUGGGAAAUCCCCGGGCUUAACCUGGGAAUGGCAGUUGGGACUGCAAGGCUGGAGUGUGGCAGAGGAGACUGGAAUUCCUGGUGUAGCAGUGAAAUGCGUAGAUAUCAGGAGGAAUACCGAUGGCGAAGGCAGGUCUCUGGGCUGACACUGACGCUCAUGCACGAAAGCGUGGGGAGCAAACAGG